GCCCGGAUGACGGAAUUGGUAGACGUAGCGGACUUAAAAUCCGCAGCUUCGGCGUGCGGGUUCGAUUCCCGCUCCGGGCACCA
RNAcentral lists this transfer RNA (83 nucleotides) under Sutterella sp. Its description in RNAcentral is "tRNA-Leu". It matches the Rfam family "tRNA". From Rfam's summary of the family: Transfer RNA (tRNA) molecules are approximately 80 nucleotides in length. Their secondary structure includes four short double-helical elements and three loops (D, anti-codon, and T loops). Lineage: Bacteria; Pseudomonadati; Pseudomonadota; Betaproteobacteria; Burkholderiales; Sutterellaceae. RNAcentral also lists the same sequence under 1 other name. The record is from RNAcentral.